CGCGGCCUAUCAGCUUGUUGGCGGGGUAACGGCCCACCAAGGCAACGACGGGUAGCUGGUUUGAGAGAACGAUCAGCCACACUGGAACUGAGACACGGUCCAGACUUCUACGGAAGGCAGCAGUAGGGAAUCUUGCGCAAUGGGCGAAAGCCUGACGCAGCGACGCCGCGUGCGGGAUGACGGCCCUAGUGGUUGUAAACCGCUUUCAGCAGGGACGAAAAUGACGGUACCUGCAGAAGAAGUCCCGGCUAACUACGUGCCAGCAGCCGCGGUAAUACGUAGGGGACAAGCGUUGUCCGGAUUCAUUGGGCGUAAAGAGCUCGUAGGCGGUUCAGUAAGUUGGGUGUGAAAGCUCCGGGCUCAACCCGGAGAGGCCACUCAAUACUGCUGUGACUAGAGUCCAGUAGAGGAGCGUGGAACUCCUGGUGUAGCGGUGAAAUGCGCAGAUAUCAGGAAGAACACCGGCAGCGAAGGCGGCGCUCUGGGCUGGUACUGACGCUGAGGAGCGAAAGCAUGGGUAGCAAACAGGAUUAGAUACCCUGGUAGUCCAUGCCGUAAACGUUGGGCACUAGGUGUGGGGGGCUUCCACGUCUUCUGUGCCGUAGCUAACGCAUUAAGCGCCCCGCCUGGGGAGUACGG
RNAcentral lists this ribosomal RNA (639 nucleotides) under uncultured bacterium. RNAcentral describes it as "bacterial SSU rRNA". It matches the Rfam family "Bacterial small subunit ribosomal RNA", at positions 232 to 885 of the family's 1533-position model. The record is from RNAcentral.